This is a long non-coding RNA of Cygnus olor (mute swan), 11041 nucleotides long. RefSeq lists it as uncharacterized. The record is from RefSeq and is a predicted model, not a curated record. The transcript is spliced from 3 exons. Lineage: Eukaryota; Metazoa; Chordata; Aves; Anseriformes; Anatidae.
AAUAUGAAAUUGUUAUACAGGAAAGAAACCCUGUAAAGAGGGCAGGACUUGAGAUCCAAAGCUAGCAAGAGCUGAGAUGCAGGUUGGCCGCGUGGAGCGUGCGACACAGCAAAAGGGCUGGUGAGGAACUGGGCCUGGGCAUCUUGCCACUGGACAUUUCCGAGAACAGGUGGCUAUUUUUUUUCCUCAAGCAAAACUACUAUUUCAAAUAUUACUGCAGAUAUCCUCCAUCUCCAGUCAACAAUGGAAAAGAGAUCUCUGAAAAGACUAUGCUAAGGUAUCCUUGUUCCUUGGACUUUGGUACAUUGCUUCUCAAACCAUCUCUUCUCCAUGUAGUCAAGGGCAAGAGUCUAUACUUGCCUCUCAGCUGUUACUUUUGUUUUCCACACUGCAAUAGAGAGAUUCUUGGAGUACCUUUUACAACAUGCUGAUUUCCCUCUCUGAAAUAAGUCACAUCACUGUGAGUAUAGUAACUCUGCUUUUUGGAGUCUGGACUUGGUUUCUUCAGCUGGUACUCUGCAAAAUAAAGUCAUUCCAGUCAUGGAGGGCUAAUAAACAAGAGAGGGGGAUAUGUGUGAUUAAUAGCUUCCCAAGCUGACAAAGCUGCACCACCAGCACUUUUUUAACUGAAGAUUACACUGCUUCUAAAAAUCUUUACGUUUCCAGGCUCUGGUAGAUAAUAAGUAUAAUGGAAAUCGGAGUGAAGUUCUCUGGCUUGACUGCCAAAUUAGCCCCAGUCCUGCAAGCACUUUUGCAGAAGCUUAACAUUACAACCAGGAACAGACCCAUUAUGGUUCUGCUCAUUUUAGUAAAUUCAAGCAUAUGUUUAAGUGAUUGCACAGUUGCGGGGGAGGAGAGAGGCAGGAUGAAAGGAAAUCCUAAAUUGUUUCAAUCCCCUUCAUUGUUUCAUUUACAAAUUGGAUUGGAGGCAGCUUUCGUGUGCCAUAUGGUCUAAUUUGCAACAGGAUGGAUUUUAUCAACACCUACGAGAAGUUCUGCUUCUUCUACUUAUGUGAAUUAGCACAAAAUAACAGUCUCCAAGGAAUUCCUGAACUUUGGCCUUCUUAUCUGGAAAAAAAAGUUAUGUACCACCAGAGAGGAGACAUUUAGUUGUGAUUUACUGCUCCCUUUCAGGUCACAACUAAUAUACAGAAAAGCUAACUGCCAUUUUGGCAGGGAACAUCCUGCCUUUUCUAGCUGAAAAUUAAGACACUGGUACAGAAUGGACUUGAGCAUCAAGCACCACCUCAGCUUACUUUGAGGAGAACUGUGUGAAUAUCUGAUAUUUGGCAGUUCUUCAAGAACCAAUGGCUAGAAAAUUUGAGCUAUAUUAUUCCACUAAAGAAAAAGCACAUAAGUUUAAUAGUGUCAAUAAUCACACACAAAUACAAAUUACACACAAAUAAUUACACUGAGAGAAGCAUGGGGUUCUCCAUCCUCGAACUGAAACUCCCCAAAAUGCUUUCCAGAGCCAAACACAAGCUAUUAGACUCAAUAUAUGAGUUGCAUUCCUUGGAUGACAUUAUACAAGAAAUCAGGCUGAUGGUGUAAUGGCUUUACAAUCUAUACACCUGCAAGAUUUAAUUGGCCAAAUUCUGUAGUUCAUGUGGACAUCCUUGCAGAUUUCAGUAACAUUAUUAACAUUUAUUGAAGUGAGAGAAAUAAAUUGCAAUUUAUCUUCUUCUCCUUUUUACCCUUGCAUAUUGCCUCCGUAUGUUGCAACGGGAAAGACAAAGCCAUUAUUUUAUUUCCUUUUCUGAGGAAACAUUCUACUUGACAGUGUCAAUGAAUCACAGUUUGUUAGGGUGGCCCCUGCAAGGCCACUUGGAAACGCUCAUGAGAUUACUGUGGUUGCAAUUUGCCCAUUAGAGAUGGGAUAAAAAUAGGCGGCCCAGCUGUCAAGAUAUAUAGAGUCAUAAGUGAAAAAGUACUUUUUUUUUUUUUUGUCAGAAAAUGAGAUCAAUCAGUUACUUUAAGCUGAGAACAAAUUGACCCAUUUAUUUCUAACUCUGAUAUCUUGCAUACGCCUUUCAUUAAACCAUCCCUAAGUUUGACUGUUAAGAAAGCAAAUGUAUUUUAUCAUCUGGUUUUAUUUUGAGGAAAUUAUGGCUCAUUUUUAAGACAUUCAUGAUAAAUGUCUUAAAUGAAAUUUGGAGGGAAAGUAACAUUAAAUCAUAUCCUAAACAGCAAUUCCAAGACAAUGUUGUUAUUAAAAUUCUGAAUGUUAUCAAUGUGUUGGCUUUAUUAAGAUAAAUUUGACGUUACAUUUGGGGUUACCAGUCUGUGGCUGGAGUUGUAGCUUUAUUUUUAAAUGAGAUGACAUAACAUCUGCAAUGCGAAGCGAGCUCUCAUUCUGCUUUCAGCAAAUUCGUCCAAAGUAGCUCUGACUGCACAGAAAAUUACACUGGUGCAAAAAUAAUCUACCCUAAGGUUUCCUCUGGUUGCUGAUUUACAGACUCAGGCAAUGCAGUGUUGCUUUAAAAUAUAAAGCUAAAAUUCAUGCAGCUGCUUCCACAGACUGGUAACCUCAAAUGCAUCUUAUUAAAUGCACUGUGUUAAUAAUUUACUUAAUUUAAACCAUUACUGUGAAUUGCUGUUUGGAAUACAAUUUAAUUUUCCUUUUCCUCAAAUUUGCCUCUAUAAUGACUUAAAAAUGUGUCAUAACCCCCCCCCAAUACCUUGACAAAAUAUAUUUGAUCCUUUACUAAUCAAUGUCUAAAGUUUUUUUUCAUACUGAUGCUGGUUUCAUGAAGGCAGAAUGAGGCUCACUUCACACAGUGUGUAUCACUCCACUGUGCAUAUAAUAUAAAUUAAUUUUACCUAUUUUGGCAUCGUUGAUCUUCAAUAGUUUCCCAAGGGAGAUACAGAUCCCUGGAUACUGAAUUUAAAUUAUAGUGCCACUGAGCUUGGUUUUUAAUGUCCCACUUGAAGACCUUUCAGAAGCAGUCAACAAAUCCCCAGGGGCCUGAGGGACACAGUGUGAAAACCACUGCACCGAAGGCUCUGAGAGGAAAUAAUUGCCAGCCUGCGCUGGGCUGGUUGAGAUCUCUGUCUCUUUUCUGCACAGCACAAGGCAGUGUCAGCUCCCUCAUUUCCACUGCUGCAGCCACACUGGAAGAGCAGGACUACUGCUCCACCACAAACAGAGCAUAACUGAAGUACCUAUAAUUAAAAAUGCAUGGAGGAGGGAGAAACCUGAUUCCAGACAAUUUCUUAUUUCCAGUCUCUGAGCAGCACACACCAUUUUAGAGCCUAUUUCCAAAACAGCGUGCUUCCUCCUCAGCACAGGCGUUGACUCAGCUAAGGAAUGUAUUCCAUUACAGCCUUGCUGGCUUGCCUUGUAACUUCAUGUAGAACCAGUUAGUUGCUGUGGUGACAAGGACCAACAAACAGAAAAAAAAAUUAAAAAAAAAAACUCUUUCAGGACUGGUCAGAGCAGUUUAACGACAGCAUGCAUGAUUAAAACUUUAAAACUUUCUUGUUUUGUACCCUUCUAAAAGGAGGGUCAACCCUUCCAGUUGUCCCUAAUGACAAACUGGACCACAGUUAAUCUUGGUGAAAUGCCACUGGCUUUUGGAGAGGUAGGUGAAGGCUUGGUGUGGAUAAUGCUCAGUGAGGAAGGUGUGGAGAAUGCUCAUUCAGUGCCAACAUCAGUACAAUCCUGAAAUCACCUAUAACAUUCAAUUGGAGGUGUUUGAAAAAUAAGGUAUGAGAAAUAUAACAUUACAUUGUUUUAAGAGAGAGGUACAAACUGCCUGAAACUCACAAAAAAUGAAGACCAUAACAAUGUUGAUUAUUGCUUUUAUUUUCUAACAUUUAACAAUUUCAAAAGAGGCAUAGUGUGGGAUGUAAACUAUGAGAAAGUGGAAAUUUCUCACUUUAAAGAGAGAAAAUGUUUCUCAAGUCCCUUACUCAGUUUUGAGCUUGGUUAUGUUUGGCUCUGCAGACACAGUUCAGUCGUAACAUGAUGGGCGUAAACUGUGGUUCAGUGGCUGCAAGGAUGCUGGGCUGUUACCUGCUCUAUGCUGAGGGAGAUGGAGCUUAUACAUAUAUAUGCCUGUAAGUACAGGUAUUUGUAUGCAGGUGUGUGGACACAUUUCGUUAAUAUAAGCUGUACUAUUAUUAUUAUAGUUAGGUAAUUCUCAUCCUAUUACUUUUAUUGCUAUAUUAGUUAAUUUACUGCGUACCCUCAAGGGACUUCAUUAACAUUGGCAGGAUAAGCCUAAAGGCUGUUGUGAUGUCUAGACAAAAGGAAUUAAAGACACAGCAGAAAUACUUACUCAAUAUUUCCCUUCUGUGGGAAGUUUCUGUCUCACUCUUACUAGCCUUUUAAUGUAGCUUUAUUAAGGAUUUAAUGCAAUAACCAAUGCGUGCUGUAAUGGAAUAAGUGUAAGCAUUUCACAUGUAUUUACAGUUGGGCAGACUCUCCCUGCCUAAUAUUCAAGCCAAUUUAAUGUUGUGGGCUUGAAAUUAAACCAUGAAUGUUAAAUCUCUAGGAUUGUCAUUGCAAAUGGGAAAAAAAAAAAAAAAGAAGAAGAAAAAAAAAACCAUACCACAACAGUUAGACCAUACUAUGGAAUUCCUGCACUAUUGUGAGAAGAGGAGAAAGAAAGCCCUCUCUCUCAACAACAGCAGAAAAAGGGAUAAGCAAAAAUUUGGGGUAUCUCUUUGUGGGAAAUGUAAUCCAAGCAAGAUCAGGGAUGCAUGGAUUCUAGGGCCAGAAAGGACCAGUACAGCAAAAAUCUUGUUUCAGUUACUACCAAACCACCAGACAAAACACCGUAUCGUGUCAAGAAUUAAUGGGAGGAGGCACUGACAGCUCUCUUCUCAAGCUUAGGUCUUGAUUUCUCUUCUCCUACAUCUUCCAAGUUACUUACAUUUUGGUGCCUUCUACAAAAAGGUUCUGAGAUUAGUAAAGGAAAGCCAGAAAUGUCAGAAGAUUGUCAUAAGAAGAAGUCAGGAGAAAAGAGGAACGGAAGAUAACAGUACACUUCAGACAGAACAGGAGGGAGGGAUCUGACAGAGUGAGGAAGUCCAGCAGAGUGUGAGAUGGAAAAGGGAAAUGUCAGAAGAUCUAAGAGGUUUGAAAAGUUUCCAUACUUACGAAGACUGAUCUGAGUGAAACUGGUCUGUGUCUAAUAAAUAUCUUCAUUAAAAUAUUCACGGUUGGUUCAGACUGACUAGACUGUCCUCCCUGGGGCUGUGUAGGAAGUGUUUUGGAAGAACAGCUUAAUUAAAAUUAAGGACAAACAACAACAACAAAAUGCUAUUGCCAUCCCUUCCUUCCUUUCUCGAGUGAAGCCACCUGCUUCAUCUCUUUCCUUUCACUGUCUUUCUCCAUCCCAGCUUGGAAUAUUCCACAUUGCUUUAUAGAAGGCUCCAACGUCUGCUGUGUCACUGCUGGGCUCUGUGCCUAAAGGCUGAUGGGUUUUCUGGCAACAUCCUGUUGCUUCCACCCCAUACCUUCCUAUGCUUGCACUAUGGCCAGCUGCAUCUAACCUAUUAUUCUAAGUGCUACACCUUCCUCCGCUGAUUGAUUAUGUAUCUUAAAAUCUGACGACAUGGAAGGAAAAAUAAAAGUUGCUUGGCUUUGGAGUUGCACUUAUUUCUGUCUUUUCCAGCAGACAAAAGAAUGUAGUCAAAACCAGAAGGAGAAGGAAUUUAGAAGACUGAAUACCAGAAUUUUAUUGUCCAGAUCUUUGGAUGUAAGAGAACAUAAGCUAAAAGAGCAAUAUAUAACUAAUGAAAAGAAACUUAGAAGAAAAGAGUGAAACAGAGGUGGAGAGCUUAGAGAAAGAUACCUAGUUUAUAUAGGCUGUAUUAUUAAAAAGUUAAAAAUGCAUUUUGUUCUGAAAGCUAGGAAUACUUUGCUCAAAAAAGAUAAAAAUUCCAGCAUGACCUGGAUUUCGAAAAAUGUUUCCCUGGCCUUACUAGCAAAGACACUCAGUAGUGGCUGGGAGGCGGUUUGACAGCCUGGAGCACGGGGCUUAAAAUGAUCUGUUUUUUUCAGGACUAUUUUGAAGUUAGAGGCUACAGUGUAGUGCAAGCAAACUGCAGAAUGCAUGUAAUCCAAAACCAAAGCCACGAACCAAUUUACAAAUGCAACUAAAUACAGCAAUGUUCACAAUGCCUGUGUAUACUGGGGUAAACAGUACCCAAAGUCUUUAUCAAAGACGCAGAUUUCCGUAUAAAUUCUCAAAACACAUGCAUGUGUAAAUAUAUGUGCCACACAAACAUUUUUUAAAUACUUGAAAUGAGGAUAACAAUGCAAAAGAAAAUGAGACACCUGAACGUUUUCAUAGCCAAUUAAUUUAAAUUUAUUUAUCACAGUUCCUCCCUGAUUCUUGCGCCAAUGUUGAAAACUGAUGUAAUGGAAAUGCUGUGGUAAAUUUUGAAGAGAUAAUAACAGAUAAUAACAUGAUAAAAGCUUACAUUCGCUACUUCUCUUGUGGUCAUCUUUGUAGUAUUGGUACAUUUUUCAGAGGAAUAGCUUCAAGAUGUCUGCAGGCUCAGGAAGGCAAAGUAUAAUGGAGAAGAGGAGGCUCAGGGGAGGCCAUAUGGCUCGCUACAGCUACCUGAAAGGAAGGUGUGGGGAGCUGGGGGUCAGCCUCUCCUCACAGGUAACUAGUAAUAGGACUAGAGGGAAUGGCCUCAAGUUGAGCCAGGGGAGGGUUAGGUUGGAAAUUAGGAGAAAUUUCUUCUCAGAAAGAGCAGUCAGGCAUUGGAACGGGUUGCCCAGGGAGGUGGUGGAGUCACCGUCCCUGGGGGUGUUCAAGGAAAGGUUGGACCUGGUGCUUAAGGACAUGGUUUAGUGGGUGACAUUGGUGGUAGGGGGGUGGUUGGACCAGGUGAUCUUGGAGAUCUUUUCCAACCUUGAUGACUCUAUGAUAACCUAGUGAACUGGAGGUAUUAUUGUCAUAAUGGUAACCAAUAAAUACAUCUAUCUUUGUAAACAUAUUUACCUGGGUGAUUACAAGAGCAACUACCUCCAUGGAGGAGUUUUCAUGUAAAAUCGACUGUGGAAGUGAAGACUCUUAUGGGACUUGAAAGAAAAGUUUUGAUACUUAAAAACAAGUUUGAGUAAACUAUUUUAUUCUUUGAACAAUAGUAAGUCUCUCCAUCUACCCAAUAAAAAGAUAAAAAUUUAAAGCAAAAAUAUAGGUGUGUAAUACUUUGCAUAAUUAAUAGCUAGAACAAGUUAACUGUACUCUUAUUCAACAUUUUAGUGCUCUAGAAAAGCAGUAUGGCCUUUGCAUCAUUCUUGGAUGGUGCUCAGAUGAAAAAGUAGACAAACCUAAACACUGAAAAUAGCCACUAUAAUCUUCAGAUAAAUGCUGGCCAGAGGUACCUGUGUAUAGCUGUCCUUUGCCCCAUUCUCUGAGAAAAAUCAGUCCAAUUCUCCCUAGCAUCUGAAUGCUUCAGGUUUUACCUACUAACAUACUUCUGUUUUACAGAUUGUUUUUGUUCUUGGCUUUCUUUUCCAAAGUGAAGUCUGGAAUUUUCCUGGACUGCUCUAAUCCUGAAAAAGUUCUAUUAAAAGAUUUAGUACAGUUAAGGGACAAAUAAGUUUGUGUUAAAUAUGUAGUGAAGUCAGCUAAAGCUGUUAACAUUUCCUACAGGUCUUAAGUAAUGUUUUAGGACCUUUUCUCUCUGCUUUUGAAUUUAAGUUCCCAAGGCAACUCCCUGCUGUAAUACUGAGGAUAUCCAAGAGAUGAUUCUUCUGACAGUCCAGCUUACUCUGCAAGAAACAAGUUCACUAUCUAUUUCCGGGGUUAUUCUGGGAAAUGAGAAGCACAUAUAGGAUUGAAAGAAAUAUUUCAGUUUAGAUUCUUCACUCUAAUAUAUGAAACUUAAAGAGUACUAAAAAUACUAUUUUCUAUUGACUGAUCCAGUUUCUUGACAGAUACUGGUCUAAGUGGCAUCCUGUCUCUUUUCCUACAUUGCUAUACAAUGAAGAAUCCAGCAAAUAGCACAAACCUUACUCCACAUUUACUCCACAUCUUCCCCCAGAUAAUACAGAGGACUGUCUCUGUGGUUUGUUGUUGUUGUUGUUUUGUUUGUUUUUUUCAAUUACAAGUGUCUGGAUUGUAAAUCAAACAUGAAACUGAUAGAAAAUUGGUGCUUUACGGCUCAACUAGACAAAUGGUAUGAAGUACACCCUGUCAGAGCCAUUCACCGCUUUGAUUUUCAUUUCUAGUUUUGCACAAGCGCCAGCACAUGCUUUCAUGGUGUCGUUCUGUAAUUUGGUGUUAAAUAUGCAUUAGUAUCCUCAGCAACUUUGCCUGAUUCUGCCCUUUUUUUUAACAUACUAGAAGCUAUUCACAAUGUCUUUGCUCAUGUGAAACUGAACAUAAAUAUACAUGGACAUAUAUAUGUACACACAGAAAUGUGAGGUUUUAGCUAUGUUUUGUUUGUUUGUUUUCUUCCUAAAACAGUUGUGGAUGUUUUAAUAUUGCAACCAUGAGCAAUUAUUACCGUGGUGCUUCUAAAUGAAAUUGCAGCUAGCACUAACUGUUCCUUCUGACAGGGGUCUGUGAAAAUACUGUGCUGGCAUCCUUCUGUACGAAUGUGCUGAAUUACUUUCUCUUGUGUCAUUCUCAGCAGAAGUUCUGGCAGUCAUAGUCUACAUUUCCUCUAAACUCAUGCAAUUUUUUUUAUUUCUGGCUUUUUAAAACCAAUGACAAGGUGUUGUAUAGUCAAGCUCCAAAAUGUGCUUUAUUCCAUGUUUAUCAAUGCUCUGAAAAUUUUUUUCUAUAAAUUUUAUAAAUACAUAAAUAUUCCAGUUUUCUAACAUUAAUGCCAUGCUCAGUUUACAAACCAGACAUUUGUAAUUGAAAAAUAUAAUCUGUAAAUAUGGGAAACAGAGACAGUAUGUAUAUUUGCUGGGUGAGAAAGGUGCAUGAGACUGAGGUAUUUGACUCUGUGGUAUGCAUUUUAUGUGCAUGACUCCCACCAGCCUUCCAUAAGUGAUAUGUGAAACUUUUUAUAUGCAUGAAUUAUGUUUCAGGUUGUCUAUUCUUGUAUAAGCCACUGGAAUUUAUUAUUAUAGUUUCUCUCACAUCAUCUAUUGACUUUAAUGAUCCCCUCAAUUUCUCAAACAUAUUAUUCAUAAAUGAAUUCUUUAUUUAGUAGUCAUAGUUGCAUAGCAGUACUGCCAAGUUGCUUGUUCAGGUAGUUUAGGCAAGUAUUUUUCUAUAAACAGCAAAUUCCAUCACAGUGAUCAUUUACUUUUCUUCUCUUCCAACUACUCUCUUAUGUUAUUUUAAAAUCCAAAACGUUCAAAUAAAAGGAUGCCAAGUGUUGGGCUUUCAGAUAUUAAAUAAAUGUGAAAGUUAGCAACUCCCUGGAAUAAGAAGUUUGUACUACCUCAUUUGUCUAUAUUCCCAAAGUUGUGAUUUCAGACUUUUCUGUUUUAGUCUUUACCAACUCUUUAAGUCUGUAGGGAAGUGAAAUAUUCACUCACAAAUUUUGUUUUUCUGAAAGCAAACUGUUGCUAUAGCAAUAUGUGAUGUCUACAGAUUUAACUACAAUGAAGGCUAAAGGAGAGUAAGGUAUUUUAGGAUGUAAAUCAUUCCUGUAGAAUCACUGAACAUGAUGUUUAAUAAAUAAAAGAGACUGGAGUUAAAUUUAAUUGGAAGCUUUCCUGUUACUGAAAAUGCUCUUUUUUAAAUGGAAUCUACCAGUUCAUGUUCUGAGAUGGUAUUUAUUUUUAAAUAAAUAUUUAAAUCUCUCUUCCAGGGGCACCAUACAUAUUUUUUUUUCUUUAACUGUGUUCUUACAUCUGCAUAACUUAGCAGGUGAGUAUGGCUCUGAAAUAAACAAAGGUAUGAUCCACAGGAAGACAGUGACCCAUGUUUGUCUUGCUUAGAGCAUUUCUUCUGCAUGCUCUGGGGCAGCUUCCCUGCAGAGGAGGACUAACAGAGGGGAAAGACGUGUUUGUCUGAGGGCAGCACUCCAUUCCCAUCUGGUGGCCAGGCACUCUUGAUCAGACAGCAGUUCCCAUUGAAACUACCAUAAAACAGGUAAACGUCCCCUGCUAUCAGUGCAAUGCUGUGGGAGAGAGGGGAAUUGGCCAACAAAUGAGAGUUAGUUUUACUCUGUGCAGGGACAUUUGACUGAGUAAAAAGCAGUCCAUCUGCAGAAACAAACAAACAAACGAUCCAACAAGCAAACAUUAUUUCUUUUAUGACUAUAUACAUCACAGCAAAUACUUGCCUUCAUCUGGUGUCCCAGCCUACAUAUGUCCCCCAGCCUGAUGGGAGCCUCUCUACUCCAUCUCCCAGCCCUCUGGCUAAGUGACACCCACACAGGGUUGAAAUCAUUUAACAUGACAGCAUUUAAAAGCAUCUACUUACAGGUCCAUAUAAACUAUACAACAGUGCAAAGACAUUGGACAUUCCUCAGGCUAGCAGCAACCCAACCAGAUUCAGGACUGGAGGCAGUAUUUUGUCAUUGCGGACUGCACUCAGGUUAAUUAACUUUGCUGAGAAGUGGGGCUAAUUUAGGUAGGGCAGUGUUGCAAGCUACAGUGCUUUCUGGAGAGUAUGAUGCCACAUGGCUAUAGUGAAACUGCUGGGAGCUAGUUUACAUGUUUUUGCUCCAUACAUUGUGGCACAGUGUAAGACAUUACCCUUCGGUCCCAAAGAGUGUGCAAUGAUGCACAGUAAUACCAUGAAGUAAUGGGCCAAGUUAUUUGCAUACCUUCACUUCCUUCAAUCUCAGAACUGGAUUUUGUAACUGUUAUAUUAAAUGUUAUUCCACAAUAAAGCACUGUUGGUUCCAUCAGCAACGUGUAAUUCAGCAUCGUGGGAGACUCUAGUCAAGGGUGAGCAGUUGUUUUCCUCACUUUUUGUUCCCAACAAGUCGAUGAGAAUGCAAGUGUCUUCCCUCUUAGAAAGGAUCUGGCUGAUGGCCUGCAUGUUGGUCCAUCUAACUAAGGCAGUGUAUCCAGAAGAAGGAGUCUAAGAAAAUUGUUAAGCUGAAGAAUUAGUAACCAAAUUCAAAACAAAAUAUGUAUUUUCAGUUUUUGCAGUUCUAAUAU